UGGGGAAUUUUGGACAAUGGGGGCAACCCUGAUCCAGCAAUGCCGCGUGUGUGAAGAAGGCCUUCGGGUUGUAAAGCACUUUUGUCCGGGAAGAAAUCGCACCUGAUAAUAUCGGGUGUGGAUGACGGUACCGGAAGAAUAAGGACCGGCUAACUACGUGCCAGCAGCCGCGGUAAUACGUAGGGUCCAAGCGUUAAUCGGAAUUACUGGGCGUAAAGCGUGCGCAGGCGGUUGUGCAAGACCGAUGUGAAAUCCCCGGGCUUAACCUGGGAAUUGCAUUGGUGACUGCACGGCUAGAGUGUGUCAGAGGGGGGUAGAAUUCCACGUGUAGCAGUGAAAUGCGUAGAGAUGUGGAGGAAUACCGAUGGCGAAGGCAGCCCCCUGGGAUAACACUGACGCUCAUGCACGAAAGCGUGGGGAGCAAACAGG
This 429-nucleotide ribosomal RNA is filed under the name Bacillota bacterium. Its description in RNAcentral is "Firmicutes bacterium partial 16S ribosomal RNA". It matches the Rfam family "Bacterial small subunit ribosomal RNA", at positions 355 to 776 of the family's 1533-position model. Lineage: Bacteria; Bacillati; Bacillota. The record is from RNAcentral.